GUAGGUGGCAAGCGAUACUCGGAAUCACUAGGCGUAAAGCGCAGGUAGGCGGUUUGGUAAGUCUUUUGUGAAAGCUCCCGGCUCAACUGGGAGAGGUCAAGGGAAACUACCGGACUAGAGUGUGGUAGGGGAUACUGGAAUUCCUGGUGUAGCGGUGAAAUGCGUAGAUAUCAGGAGGAAUACCUAUGGCGAAAGCAGGUAUCUGGGCCAUCACUGACGCUGAGCUGCGAAAGCUAGGGGAGCAAACAGGAUUAGAUACCCUGGUAGUCCUAGCCCUAAACGAUGCUCAUUAGAUGUGGGAGGUAUCGACCCCUUCCGCGUCGCAGCUAACGCAUUAAAUGAGCCGCCUGGGGAGUACGGCCGCAAGGUUGAA
Molecule: ribosomal RNA, 373 nt
Filed under: uncultured bacterium
Lineage: Bacteria
Description: bacterial SSU rRNA
Rfam family: Bacterial small subunit ribosomal RNA
Source: RNAcentral